GACGAACGCUGGCGGCGUGCUUAACACAUGCAAGUCGAACGGAAAGGCCCUGCUUUUGUGGGGUGCUUGAGAGGCGAACGGGUGAGUAACACGUGAGUAACCUGCACUUGUCUUUGGGAUAACUUCAGGAAAAUGGGGCUAAUACCGGAUAGGAGAUCCUGAUGCAUGGUGGGGGUUGGAAAGUUUCGGCGGUUGGGGAUGGACUAGAGGCUUAUCAGCUUGCUGGUGGGGUAGGGGCAUACCAGGGCUUUGACGGGUAGGCGGCCUGAGAGGUGGACCGGCCACAUUGGGACUGAGGUACGGCGCAGACGCCAACGUGAGGCAGCAGUGGGGAAUAUUGCACAAUGGGCGGAAGCCUGAUGCAGCAACGCCGCGUGCGUGAUAACGGCCUACGGGUUGUAAACCGCUUUCGCCUGUGACGAAGCGUGAGUGACGGUAAUGGGUAAAGAAGCACCGGCUAACUACGUG
This 468-nucleotide ribosomal RNA is filed under the name uncultured bacterium. RNAcentral's name for it is "partial 16S ribosomal RNA". It matches the Rfam family "Bacterial small subunit ribosomal RNA", at positions 28 to 507 of the family's 1533-position model. The record is from RNAcentral.